UGAGCUUAAUUGAAGCAUUUCGUUUACACCGAAAAGAUGUCUGUGAAAAUCAAACCAUUUUGA
This 63-nucleotide transfer RNA is filed under the name Fejervarya sp. BFS-2007. RNAcentral describes it as "partial tRNA-Val". The record is from RNAcentral. Lineage: Eukaryota; Metazoa; Chordata; Amphibia; Anura; Dicroglossidae.